Molecule: ribosomal RNA, 449 nt
Filed under: uncultured bacterium
Lineage: Bacteria
Description: partial 16S ribosomal RNA
Rfam family: Bacterial small subunit ribosomal RNA
Source: RNAcentral
AACGAACGCUGGCGGCAUGCCUAACACAUGCAAGUCGAACGAAGGCUUCGGCCUUAGUGGCGCACGGGUGAGUAACGCGUGGGAAACUGCCUAUUGGUGGGGAAUAACGACGGGAAACUGUCGCUAAUACCGCAUAAGCCCUUCGGGGGAAAGAUUUAUCGCCGAUAGAUGUGCCCGCGUCCGAUUAGCUAGUUGGUGAGGUAAUGGCUCACCAAGGCGACGAUCGGUAGCUGGUCUGAGAGGAUGAUCAGCCACACUGGGACUGAGACACGGCCCAGACUCCUACGGGAGGCAGCAGUGGGGAAUAUUGGACAAUGGGCGAAAGCCUGAUCCAGCAAUGCCGCGUGAGUGAUGAAGGCCUUAGGGUUGUAAAGCUCUUUCGGGUGGGACGAUGAUGACGGUACCACCAGAAGAAGCCCCGGCUAACUUCGUGCCAGCAGCCGCCGUAA